CGAAUACGAGACGCUACGGCGUCGAAGUAGUGUAUGUCAUGCUUCCAAGAAAAGCUUGCACUGUCAUAAAUAAAAGAUGCCUGUACCAUAACCGACACAGGUGGGUAGGUAGAGUAUACUAAGGGGCGCGAGAUAACUCUCUCUAAGGAACUCGGCAAAAUAACUCCGUAACUUCGGGAGAAGGAGUGCCUUAUUUAAUAAGGUUGCAAUAACAAGAUCCAAGCAACUGUUUACCAAAAACACAGGUCUCCGCUAAGUCGUAAGACGAUGUAUGGGGGCUGACGCCUGCCCAGUGCCAGAAGGUUAAAGAAGUUGGUUAGCAUCUGCGAAGCUGAUAACUGAAGCCCUGGUGAACGGCGGCCGUAACGAUAACGGUCCUAAGGUAGCGAAAUUCCUUGUCGGGUAAGUUCCGACCCGCACGAAAGGCGUAAUGAUUUGGAUACUGUCUCGGAGAGGGGCUCGGUGAAAUAGACUUGUCUGUGAAGAUGCGGACUACCUGCACCUGGACAGAAAGACCCUAUGAAGCUUUACUGUAACUUGAAAUUGAAAUUGGACUUUAUUCGCGCAGUAUAGGUGGGAGGCGUUGAAAAUACUCUUGCGGGAGUAUUGGAGCUAUCAGUGAGAUACCACUCUUAUAAUGUUAGAUUUCUAACUUUGAACCAUUAUCUGGUCAAAGAACAGUUUCAGGCGGGCAGUUUGACUGGGGCGGUCGCCUCCCAAACGGUAACGGAGGCGUACAAAGGUUUCCUCUGAACGGAUAGAAAUCGUAUCUAGAGUAUAAAGGCAUAAGGAAGCUUGACUGUGAGACCUACAAGUCGAGCAGGGACGAAAGUCGGUCUUAGUGAUCUGACGGUACUGAGUGGAAAGGCCGUCACUCAACGGAUAAAAGUUACUCUAGGAUAACAGGCUGAUCUCCCCCAAGAGUUCACAUCGACGGGGAGGUUUGGCACCUCGAUGUCGGCUCAUCGCAUCCUGGGGCGGUAGUACGUCCCAAGGGUUGGGCUGUUCGCCCAUGAAAGCGGUACGCGAGCUGGGUUCAGAACGUCGUGAGACAGUUCGGUCCAUAUCCGGUGUAGGCGUUAGAAUAUUGAGAGGAGCCUUCUCUAGUACGAGAGGACCGAGAAGGACAUACCUCUGGUGUACCAGUUAUCGUGCCAACGGUAAACGCUGGGUAGCUAUGUAUGGAGUGGAUAACCGCUGAAAGCAUCUAAGUGGGAAGCCCACCUCAAGAUAAGUAUUCUC
RNAcentral lists this ribosomal RNA (1242 nucleotides) under metagenome. RNAcentral's name for it is "bacterial LSU rRNA". It matches the Rfam family "Bacterial large subunit ribosomal RNA", at positions 1564 to 2815 of the family's 2925-position model. The record is from RNAcentral.